Molecule: ribosomal RNA, 220 nt
Filed under: uncultured bacterium
Lineage: Bacteria
Description: partial 16S ribosomal RNA
Rfam family: Bacterial small subunit ribosomal RNA
Source: RNAcentral
UACAGAGGUCUCAAGCGUUGUUCGGAUUCAUUGGGCGUAAAGGGUGCGUAGGCGGCGCGGUAAGUCGGGUGUGAAAUCUCGGAGCUUAACUUCGAAACUGCAUUCGAUACUGCCGUGCUUGAGGACUGGAGAGGAGACUGGAAUUUACGGUGUAGCGGUGAAAUGCGUAGAUAUCGUAAGGAAGACCAGUGGCGGAAGGCGGGUCUCUGGACAGUUCCUG